GGGGCGACGUUGUCCCUAAUUACUGGGCGUAAAGGGUGCGUAGGCGGCCAAAUAAGUCAGAUGUGAAAGUCCAAGGCUCAACCAUGGAAUAGCAUUUGAAACUGUAUGGCUUGAGUGCAGGAGAGGAGAGCGGAAUUCCUAGUGUAGCGGUGAAAUGCGUAGAGAUUAGGAAGAACACCAGUGGCGAAGGCGGCUCUCUGGACUGUAACUGACGCUGAGGCACGAAAGCGUGGGUAGCGAACAGGAUUAGAUACCCUGGUAGUCCACGCCGUAAACGAUGAGUGCUAGGUGUCGGGAGGAAUCUCGGUGCCGGAGUUAACACAAUAAGCACUCCGCCUGGGGAGUACGACCGCAAGGUUAAAACUCAAAGGAAUUGACGGGGGCCCGCACAAGCAGCGGAGCAUGUGGUUUAAUUCGAAGCAACGCGAAGAACCUUACCAGGGCUUGACAUCCCUUGACGACCUAAGAGAUUAGGUGUUCUCGUUAUACGGGACAAGGAGACAGGUGGUGCAUGGUUGUCGUCAGCUCGUGUCGUGAGAUGUUGGGUUAAGUCCCGCAACGAGCGCAACCCUUAUAUUUAGUUGCCAGCAAGUAAAGUUGGGCACUCUAAAUAGACUGCCGGCAAGAAGUCGGAGGAAGGUGGGGAUGACGUCAAAUCAUCAUGCCCCUUAUGCCCUGGGCUACACACGUGCUACAAUGGUCUGUACAAAGGGAAGCGAAAGAGUGAUCUGGAGCGAAUCCCAGAAAGCAGAUCUCAGUUCGGAUUGCAGGCUGCAACUCGCCUGCAUGAAGGAGGAGUUGCUAGUAAUCGCGGAUCAGAAUGCCGCGGUGAAUACGUUCCCGGGCCUUGUACACACCGCCCGUCACACCACGAGAGUUGGCAACACCCGAAGUCAGUGAGCCAACCUAGAAAUAGGAGGCAGCUU
RNAcentral lists this ribosomal RNA (926 nucleotides) under Garciella sp. ST-tSRB-8. RNAcentral's name for it is "bacterial SSU rRNA". It matches the Rfam family "Bacterial small subunit ribosomal RNA", at positions 531 to 1455 of the family's 1533-position model. The record is from RNAcentral. Lineage: Bacteria; Bacillati; Bacillota; Clostridia; Eubacteriales; Eubacteriaceae.